UUAGAACUGGCAGACUAGAGUUUUGGAGAGGGGAGUGGAAUUCCAGGUGUAGCGGUGAAAUGCGUAGAUAUCUGGAGGAACAUCAGUGGCGAAGGCGACUCUCUGGCCAAAGACUGACGCUCAUGUGCGAAAGUGUGGGUAGCGAACAGGAUUAGAUACCCUGGUAGUCCACACCGUAAACGCUGUCUACUAGCUGUGUGUGCAUUUAAUGCGUGCGUAGCGAAGCUAACGCGCUAAGUAGACCGCCUGGGGAGUACGGCCGCAAGGUUAAAACUCAAAUGAAUUGACGGGGGCCCGCACAAGCGGUGGAGCAUGUGGUUUAAUUCGACGCAACGCGAAGAACCUUACCUGGCCUUGAC
This 359-nucleotide ribosomal RNA is filed under the name uncultured Micromonas. RNAcentral describes it as "partial Bacterial small subunit ribosomal RNA". It matches the Rfam family "Bacterial small subunit ribosomal RNA", at positions 627 to 985 of the family's 1533-position model. The record is from RNAcentral. Lineage: Eukaryota; Viridiplantae; Chlorophyta; Mamiellophyceae; Mamiellales.